Molecule: long non-coding RNA, 1151 nt
Organism: Spinacia oleracea (spinach)
Lineage: Eukaryota; Viridiplantae; Streptophyta; Magnoliopsida; Caryophyllales; Amaranthaceae
Exons: 4
Source: RefSeq, a predicted model, not a curated record
GCCUGUAAUAUUUCUCUCCCCUCUCCCUUUGUAAAACCCUAAAACCCACAACCUUCAUUGAGCGCACACUCUCUCUCUUUGACUCCAUCGCCCUUUCUUCACCCUUCCCUUUCUCUCUCCUCUCACAUUUUAAUUUCUCCAUCCCAGAACGAUUGUGCUUAAUACGGGCGCUUAAUACGGGAUCGGCUUUUGGAGCAUACUUUAAGUUUUGGAUCGAUUUUUGGAGCAUACUACUCCAAUACUCCGUCGGUCCCCGCUCAGCACUUCUCUAAGACGAGCAUGAAGGGAUGGAGAACUCAGGAUGAUGAGUUUCGAAUGUACUUUUUCUUGGUGAUCUAUGUUCGUAUAAGGAGCGGAGUGCAUAUGGGGCAGGAGUGCCGCUUUUGCUUAAUGGAAGCCUGGGCUGAAGCAACAUUAGUUCACAUAGCUUCUGUAGUACAGAGGUACUUAUCGCAUUUUGGAUUGGGCUGACAUAACCAAUGCUUAUAUAUCAGGGACUGAGAUUGUGGAUGGACUGAAGUUAAAGGUAUGAUUGACUUUCUAAACUGGUAGGCUUUUAUGUCUUAAUCAGAAAUCACGUUUCCUUCUGAAUUUCAGGGCUUGCCUCGCGGUAGGGGUCUUUUGUUGUUGGCUGAAAUGAGUUCUGCUGCUAACUAAGAACUUCCCUUACAUUUGUUUAUUGGUUGGGUUUUAAGAAGAAAAGGUGCCAUAAGAGAAAUCAAAAUAUCAAAUCAAAUUCUCCAAAUAAAGUUGAUAAACCAAUUGAAGGCUUACGUUUAGUGGCAGAGAUCAGGAAACUUGCAUGUUCCUUUGGUUAUUUUCUGUUGUUCAAAAUUACAUAGCUUUGUUUUUUGAACAAGCUCAUUACUAAGUUGUCUUGCUUUGGUUGUGUUGGCCACCCGAACAAGAAAAGAAUGCCAGAGUAUAUAAGUUAUGCUUCGCAAUUGUAUACUGUAUUUACAUGCCUCUGAUGGGUUGAUUUCUGUCAUGCAUAAUACACAACUGGAAAAUCAAGGUGGUAAUUGCUAUUUGUAUAAUUUUAAAAGUAAGUUUUUUCUCAAAACACUAUACCCUUAGUUCAUUUUAUUAUAUAAUACUCUGUAUAUUCUUACUUCAAUAUGAAUAAUAAAGUUUUGAACAUUUUUCUUGCA